GACGAACGCUGGCGGCGCGCUUAACACAUGCAAGUCGAGCGAUGAAAUUUUGACAGAUCCCUUCGGGGUGAAGACAAAAUGGAUUAGCGGCGGACGGGUGAGUAACACGUGAGUAACCUGCCUUAGACAUUGGGAUAGCCUCGGGAAACCGGGAUUAAUACCAAAUAAAAUCAUAGGUGCACAUGCACUAAUGAUCAAAACUCCGGUGGUCUAAGAUGGACUCGCGUCCCAUUAGCUAGUUGGUAGGUAACGGCCUACCAAGGCGACGAUGGGUAGCCGGCCUGAGAGGGUGAACGGCCACAUUGGAACUGAGAAACGGUCCAAACUCCUACGGGGGCAGCAGUGGGGAAUAUUGCACAAUGGAGGGAACUCUGAUGCAGCGACGCCGCGUGAACGAAGAAGGCUUU
RNAcentral lists this ribosomal RNA (407 nucleotides) under uncultured bacterium. Its description in RNAcentral is "bacterial SSU rRNA". It matches the Rfam family "Bacterial small subunit ribosomal RNA", at positions 28 to 418 of the family's 1533-position model. The record is from RNAcentral.